AUUGAACGCUGGCGGCAGGCCUAACACAUGCAAGUCGAGCGGAUGAAGGGAGCUUGCUCCUGGAUUCAGCGGCGGACGGGUGAGUAAUGCCUAGGAAUCUGCCUGGUAGUGGGGGAUAACGUCCGGAAACGGGCGCUAAUACCGCAUACGUCCUGAGGGAGAAAGUGGGGGAUCUUCGGACCUCACGCUAUCAGAUGAGCCUAGGUCGGAUUAGCUAGUUGGUGGGGUAAAGGCCUACCAAGGCGACGAUCCGUAACUGGUCUGAGAGGAUGAUCAGCCACACUUGAACCUGGACACCGGUCAGACUCCCACGGGAAGGAGGAGGUGGGAAUAUUUGACCAAUGGGGGAAGGCUUGACCAAGCAAGGCGGGGUGGGUGAAGAAGGCCUUCGGAUGGUAAAGCCCUUUAGGUUGGGAGGAAGGGAAGUAAGUUAAUCCCUGCUGUUUUGACGUUACCAACAGAAUAAGCACCGGCUAACUUCGUG
Molecule: ribosomal RNA, 484 nt
Filed under: uncultured bacterium
Lineage: Bacteria
Description: partial 16S ribosomal RNA
Rfam family: Bacterial small subunit ribosomal RNA
Source: RNAcentral